GAUAAACUGCCAAACCAGAACUUUACACCCAGAGAAAAUCUCUUUAAGAUAAAAACAAAAUACAGACAUUUUCAAAAUGACAAAGUUUAUUAUCAAUGGGCCCUAAACUGUUAAAGAACGAUUUUAAGGAAAAUGAUCCCCAAAAGAAGGUCAGAGAUAUAAGAAAAAGUAAGCAAAGAAAAAGGAGGAGGAGAAGAAACAGGCUUACACUAAGGGAAUCCAAUGUGCAGACAGACACACAGGGAAGGUGACCAUUUGAAGACAGAGGCAGAGACUGGAGUUGUGCAACUGCAAACCAAGAAAUGCCAAGGACUGCCGACAACCACCAGAAACUAGACGAGGCAAGGUAAGGUUCAGCAAAGUCUAUGUCAUUCUCUAAUGCUUUUGAUCCAGCGGAUUCUUGGGAAGAAUUUGAAUACAUAUUGGAUUUUGCAUCCAGGUUUGCAAGAGGAAAAUACAAAGGUGACUUCUGGGCCUGCUGGAGGUGGAGGGUAGAGGAUGGACAGCUGACAUCUAGUCACAGAGGAAAGAACACAGAAAGAGAUCUCCAGUUAAAGCUGAUAGAUUGAACCACACACAACCCACCUCCUUCUAAAAUCCCUCUAGAACAAUGGUUUAAAAAAAGUACUUUCACAUAAAACUUCAAAAUCAAAAAGAUAAGGAAAAUGAUGAAAACCACUCAGAUAAGAAGAGAGGAUAUUUAUGCAGAGGCUGCUGUCGUUGGGAGUCCACCACCAUACCACCAUACUUUGGUGAGACUUGAAGGCAGGCAGGGAGUGGAAACACUUUAUGCUGUAGUGAAAAAAGGGGAAGGCUUCGGUAUGCUCUGACUGGAGAUCAUUGUCAUGGGGAAACUGCAGGUGGGCUAACUAGAGGCUGGGCUUCUUGUGUAAUGGUUUGGCUUUCUCUGGUUGGUCCUGUGUUGAAAAUAGGGGCAAAAUAUAGGGAAGCUGACUCAUUGACAAAGCCCUGCCCAGGCUGGCUGAUUGCAGAGGUUGUGGGUCAGAGUUCUAUUGUCAUAUAUGGUCUGGCUACUGUCUGUUUAUAUAAUCCGUCUCUCAGAGGACAGUAGAGGAGAUCAAAUUAUUAACAUUUUGGAAGCUGGAAAGCAGGAGGAUAGUGUGAACUGAAUUAGCAGACUUGCCAUCUAUCAAAGGGGAUAGCCAAAAGCAAGCCAGAUUUGCCCCAGAGAACCACCAAAGGUUCAAGAAUUGGCAGCACCAGGUACCCCCAGAAGCAGGGAUAAAGAGGGGGCUGAAAUUGGACAGUUGGUUCAAAGUCUAUUUCAGAAGCAUUAGACCACUGGAUUUCUUCCCUAGCUCCCAAAUGACUACCUGGUGCAGAAGACUCAGGAUUGAUUUCCUGGAGAGGGUAGAUAGUUCUUUGUCUAGUUAAGGAUGGGGUGCCAUAACAAACAUGCCAAUUCAGUGAAAAUACCUACUUUCAAGACUCCUGCUUGACUCCCCUAAAUCAACAGCCAAUGUUAGAAGCCAAGUGUUAAAGUUUUUCAGAUAAUUUUGCUAUAAGCCUGUGGGGAAAUUUCAUUACCAUCUCAUAGCAAGGCCUAUAGUAGCAUAUGGGGGAAAAGUCUAAAAGACUUUGAAAUGGACCAAAAGAUUAUUGAGAAAUGGAAAAUUGCAUUGUUUUAAGUAUCCCUUUCCAAUUUAUCAGAUUCUGUGGGGUUUAUACCUUUCAUUGUCUUUGAGGUAUUUAACAAUUCUGAAGAGAUAGACUCUAACUUGUAGAAAACUAAGAGUAACAUAAAUAAAUAUUAUCGUCUUUAGAUAUACAAAUAAAUUCUGUUCUGAG
RNAcentral lists this long non-coding RNA (1809 nucleotides) under Pongo abelii (Sumatran orangutan). Its description in RNAcentral is "lincRNA". The record is from RNAcentral. Lineage: Eukaryota; Metazoa; Chordata; Mammalia; Primates; Hominidae.